This 346-nucleotide ribosomal RNA is filed under the name uncultured Pseudoflavonifractor sp. Its description in RNAcentral is "bacterial SSU rRNA". It matches the Rfam family "Bacterial small subunit ribosomal RNA", at positions 355 to 717 of the family's 1533-position model. The record is from RNAcentral. Lineage: Bacteria; Bacillati; Bacillota; Clostridia; Eubacteriales; Oscillospiraceae.
UGGGGAAUAUUGGGCAAUGGGCGCAAGCCUGACCCAGCAACGCCGCGUGAAGGAAGAAGGCUUUCGGGUUGUAAACUUCUUUUGUCAGGGACGAGUAGAAGACGGUACCUGACGAAUAAGCCACGGCUAACUACGUGCCAGCAGCCGCGGUAAUACGUAGGUGGCAAGCGUUGUCCGGAUUUACUGGGUGUAAAGGGCGUGUAGGCGGAGAAGCAAGUCAGAAGUGAAAUCCAUGGGCUUAACCCAUGAACUGCUUUUGAAACUGUUCCCUUGAGUAUCGGAGAGGCAGGCGGAAUUCCUAGUGUAGCGGUGAAAUGCGUAGAUAUUAGGAGGAACACCAGUGGCG